This 253-nucleotide ribosomal RNA is filed under the name uncultured bacterium. RNAcentral describes it as "partial 16S ribosomal RNA". It matches the Rfam family "Bacterial small subunit ribosomal RNA", at positions 524 to 776 of the family's 1533-position model. The record is from RNAcentral.
UACAGAGGUCUCAAGCGUUGUUCGGAUUCAUUGGGCGUAAAGGGUGCGUAGGCGGUGGGGCAAGUCAGGUGUGAAAUCCCGGAGCUCAACUCCGGAACUGCACUUGAUACUGCUUUACUAGAGUACUGGAGAGGAGACUGGAAUUUACGGUGUAGCAGUGAAAUGCGUAGAUAUCAAGAGGAACACCAGUGGCGAAGGCGAGUCCCUGGACAACACCUGACACUGAGGCACGAAAGCUAGGGGAGCAAACAGG